Molecule: ribosomal RNA, 149 nt
Filed under: Alcaligenes sp. 2.60.64
Lineage: Bacteria; Pseudomonadati; Pseudomonadota; Betaproteobacteria; Burkholderiales; Alcaligenaceae
Description: partial 16S ribosomal RNA
Rfam family: Bacterial small subunit ribosomal RNA
Source: RNAcentral
UUACACAUGCAAGUCGAACGGCAGCACGAGAGAGCUUGCUCUCUUGGUGGCGAGUGGCGGACGGGUGAGUAAUAUAUCGGAACGUGCCCAGUANCGGGGGAUAACUACUCNAAAGAGUGGCUAAUACCGCAUACGCCCUACGGGGGAAA